RNAcentral lists this ribosomal RNA (407 nucleotides) under Verrucomicrobiota bacterium. RNAcentral describes it as "Verrucomicrobia bacterium partial 16S ribosomal RNA". It matches the Rfam family "Bacterial small subunit ribosomal RNA", at positions 355 to 776 of the family's 1533-position model. The record is from RNAcentral. Lineage: Bacteria; Pseudomonadati; Verrucomicrobiota.
UGGGGAAUAUUGGACAAUGGAGGAAACUCUGAUCCAGCAAUUCUGUGUGUGUGAAGAAGGUUUUAGGACUGUAAAACACUUUUAGUAGGGAAGAAAAAAAUGACGGUACCUACAGAAGAAGCAACGGCUAAAUACGUGCCAGCAGCCGCGGUAAUACGUAUGUUGCGAGCGUUAUCCGGAAUUAUUGGGCUUAAAGGGCAUCUAGGCGGUAAGACAAGUUGAAGGUGAAAACCUGUGGCUCAUCCAUAGGCUUGCCUACAAAACUGUUGAACUAGAGUACUGGAAAGGUGGGUGGAACUACACGAGUAGAGGUGAAAUUCGUAGAUAUGUGUAGGAAUGCCGAUGAUGAAGAUAACUCACUGGACAGAAACUGACGCUGAAGUGCGAAAGCUAGGGGAGCAAACAGG